RNAcentral lists this ribosomal RNA (1329 nucleotides) under metagenome. Its description in RNAcentral is "bacterial LSU rRNA". It matches the Rfam family "Bacterial large subunit ribosomal RNA", at positions 1576 to 2925 of the family's 2925-position model. The record is from RNAcentral.
CCAAAGAGUAGGGAAGUGUGUGAGCCAUGCGUCAAGAAAAGCCGCUAUUGUUUUACUUAAGCCCGUACCGUAAACCGACACAGGUGGAUGAGGAGAGAAUCCUAAGGCCGACGGGAGAAGCAUUGUUAAGGAACUCGGCAAAAUGACUCCGUAACUUCGGGAGAAAGAGUGCCAGCGAGAGCUGGCCGCAGAGAAUUGGCCCAAGCAACUGUUUAGCAAAAACACAGGUCUAUGCAAAACCGUAAGGUGAAGUAUAUGGGCUGACGCCUGCCCGGUGCUGGAAGGUUAAGAGGAGAGGUUAGCGGCAACGCGAAGCUUUGAAUUUAAGCCCCAGUAAACGGCGGCCGUAACAGUAACGGUCCUAAGGUAGCGAAAUUCCUUGUCGGGUAAGUUCCGACCCGCACGAAAGGCGUAAUGAUUUGGGCACUGUCUCAACAAUGCACCCGGUGAAAUUGAAAUACCAGUGAAGAUGCUGGUUACCUGCGCCAGGACGGAAAGACCCCAUGGAGCUUUACUCCAGCUUGAUACUGGGAUUCGGUAUUGCAUGUACAGGAUAGGUGGGAGGCUAGGAAGUGAUAACGCCAGUUGUCACGGAGCCGCUGUUGGGAUACCACCCUUGCAGUAUUGGAUUUCUAACCAGCGACCAUGAACUGGUCGGGGGACAAUGUCAGGUGGGGAGUUUGACUGGGGCGGUCGCCUCCGAAAGGGUAUCGGAGGCGCUCAAAGGUUCCCUCAGAAUGGACGGAAACCAUUCGAAGAGUGCAAAGGCAGAAGGGAGCUUGACUGCGACACCGACGGGUGGAGCAGGUACGAAAGUAGGACUUAGUGAUCCGGUGGUAUAAAGUGGGAUUGCCAUCGCUCAACGGAUAAAAGCUACCCUGGGAUAACAGGCUUAUCACUCCCAAGAGUUCACAUCGACGGAGUGGUUUGGCACCUCGAUGUCGGCUCAUCGCAUCCUGGGGCUGAAGUAGGUCCCAAGGGUUGGGCUGUUCGCCCAUUAAAGCGGUACGCGAGCUGGGUUCAGAACGUCGUGAGACAGUUCGGUCCCUAUCCGGCGUGGGCGUAGGAUAUUUGAGAGGAGCUGUCCUUAGUACGAGAGGACCGGGAUGGACUGGCCGCUGGUGUAUCUGUUGCAUACCAAAUGCAUGGCAGAGUAGCCAAGCCGGGACGGGAUAAACGCUGAAGGCAUCUAAGCGUGAAGCCCCCCUCAAGAUGAGAUAUCCCUACGUAAGUAGUAAGACCCCUUGAAGACGACGAGGUAGAUAGGUCAGAGGUGGAAGUACAGUAAUGUAUGGAGCUGACUGAUACUAAUCGGUCGAGGGCAUGACC